Molecule: ribosomal RNA, 497 nt
Filed under: uncultured bacterium
Lineage: Bacteria
Description: partial 16S ribosomal RNA
Rfam family: Bacterial small subunit ribosomal RNA
Source: RNAcentral
GAUGAACGCUGGCGGCGUGCCUAAUACAUGCAAGUCGAGCGAACGGACGAGAAGCUUGCUUCUCUGAUGUUAGCGGCGGACGGGUGAGUAACACGUGGAUAAUCUCCCUAUAAUACUGGGAUAACUUCGGGAAACCGGCGCUUAUACCGGAUAAUAUUUUGAACCGCAUGGUUCAAAAGUGAAAGACGGCCUUGCUGUCUCUUAUAGAUGGAUCCGGGCUGCUUUAGCUAGUUGGUAAGGUAACGGCUUACCAAGGCAACGAUGCAUAGCCGACCUGAGAGCGUGAUCGGCCACACGGGAACUGAGACCCGGUCCAGACGCCUACGGGAGGCAGCAGUAGGGAAUCUUCCGCAAUAGGGGAAAGCCUGACGGAGCAACGCCGCGUGCGAGAUGAAGAUCUUCGGACCGGAAAACUCUGUUAUUAGGGAAGAACAUAUGUGUAAGGAACUGUGCCCAUCUUGACGGUAACUACUCAGAAAGCCCCGGCUAACUACGUG